Molecule: ribosomal RNA, 350 nt
Filed under: uncultured bacterium
Lineage: Bacteria
Description: bacterial SSU rRNA
Rfam family: Bacterial small subunit ribosomal RNA
Source: RNAcentral
AGAGUUUGAUCAUGGCUCAGGAUGAACGCUAGCUACAGGCUUAACACAUGCAAGUCGAGGGGCAGCAUGGUCUUAGCUUGCUAAGGCUGAUGGCGACCGGCGCACGGGUGAGUAACACGUAUCCAACCUGCCGUCUACUCUUGGCCAGCCUUCUGAAAGGAAGAUUAAUCCAGGAUGGGAUCAUGAGUUCACAUGUCCGCAUGAUUAAGGUAUUUUCCGGUAGACGAUGGGGAUGCGUUCCAUUAGGUAGUAGGCGGGGUAACGCCCACCUAGUCAACGAUGGAUAGGGGUUCUGAGAGGAGGUCCCCANAUUGGAACUGAGACACGGUCCAAACUCCGUACGGGAGGCA